GAUGAACGCUGGCUGCGUGCCUAAUACAUGCAAGUCGAGCGAACGGACGAGAAGCUUGCUUCUCUGAUGUUAGCGGCGGACGGGUGAGUAACACGUGGAUAACCUACCUAUAAGACUGGGAUAACUUCGGGAAACCGGAGCUAAUACCGGAUAAUAUUUUGAACCGCAUGGUUCAAAAGUGAAAGACGGUCUUGCUGUCACUUAUAGAUGGAUCCGCGCUGCAUUAGCUAGUUGGUAAGGUAACGGCUUACCAAGGCAACGAUGCAUAGCCGACCUGAGAGGGUGAUCGGCCACACUGGAACUGAGACACGGUCCAGACUCCUACGGGAGGCAGCAGUAGGGAAUCUUCCGCAAUGGGCGAAAGCCUGACGGAGCAACGCCGCGUGAGUGAUGAAGGUCUUCGGAUCGUAAAACUCUGUUAUUAGGGAAGAACAUAUGUGUAAGUAACUGUGCACAUCUUGACGGUACCUAAUCAGAAAGCCACGGCUAACUACGUGCCAGCAGCCGCGGUAAUACGUAGGUGGCAAGCGUUAUCCGGAAUUAUUGGGCGUAAAGCGCGCGUAGGCGGUUUUUUAAGUCUGAUGUGAAAGCCCACGGCUCAACCGUGGAGGGUCAUUGGAAACUGGAAAACUUGAGUGCAGAAGAGGAAAGUGGAAUUCCAUGUGUAGCGGUGAAAUGCGCAGAGAUAUGGAGGAACACCAGUGGCGAAGGCGACUUUCUGGUCUGUAACUGACGCUGAUGUGCGAAAGCGUGGGGAUCAAACAGGAUUAGAUACCCUGGUAGUCCACGCCGUAAACGAUGAGUGCUAAGUGUUAGGGGGUUUCCGCCCCUUAGUGCUGCAGCUAACGCAUUAAGCACUCCGCCUGGGGAGUACGACCGCAAGGUUGAAACUCAAAGGAAUUGACGGGGACCCGCACAAGCGGUGGAGCAUGUGGUUUAAUUCGAAGCAACGCGAAGAACCUUACCAAAUCUUGACAUCCUUUGACAACUCUAGAGAUAGAGCCUUCCCCUUCGGGGGGGCAAAGUGACAGGUGGUGCAUGGUUGUCGUCAGCUCGUGUCGUGAGAUGUUGGGUUAAGUCCCGCAACGAGCGCAACCCUUAAGCUUAGUUGCCAUCAUUAAGUUGGGCACUCUAAGUUGACUGCCGGUGACAAACCGGAGGAAGGUGGGGAUGACGUCAAAUCAUCAUGCCCCUUAUGAUUUGGGCUACACACGUGCUACAAUGGACAAUACAAAGGGCAGCGAAGCCGCGAGGUCAAGCAAAUCCCAUAAAGUUGUUCUCAGUUCGGAUUGUAGUCUGCAACUCGACUACAUGAAGCUGGAAUCGCUAGUAAUCGUAGAUCAGCAUGCUACGGUGAAUACGUUCCCGGGUCU
Molecule: ribosomal RNA, 1373 nt
Filed under: uncultured bacterium
Lineage: Bacteria
Description: bacterial SSU rRNA
Rfam family: Bacterial small subunit ribosomal RNA
Source: RNAcentral